This 13135-nucleotide long non-coding RNA is filed under the name Homo sapiens (human). RNAcentral describes it as "HSALNT0314185". The record is from RNAcentral. Lineage: Eukaryota; Metazoa; Chordata; Mammalia; Primates; Hominidae.
CUUUUUCGCCCCGCCCUUCAAAUGCGAAAGCGACUGCCUUCUUGGAAUCAGUCUUUUACAGGUCAAGUGCAGUAAACUAAAAUGUUCUCUCAGCACAAAGCAGCACUAGAAAAAGUAACAGUUAUAGAUGGGAGUUGACUAGUUUUGCAGUGGCUGCGCCAUCAAUAACAAACAGACAUCAGACGGUAUCCAUCCCAGAGCACAGACACUACUACAGACUAGAUGCGAAGAAUGCGUCACACUCUUGGCUGAUAAAUGUCCUUUGUCUUUGACUCUUUCUAGUUUGAAUGAAGUGGAUUUUUUAAAAGUUUAAAUCAGGUCACAUAAGUUGGCUGCUUAAAUAACAUCAUGAUGAGGUAUGAAAAGCUCUGAAUAUCCCUUACAUUCAGCAGGAUUUACCAGAGAUGUAUAAUAGCUUGUCAGGGGCAACUUCCAAAUAGUUUUUACACUUUGGGGUUAUAAUGAAUUCUAGAAGAGGACAAGUCUAAAAAGGUUUAAAAGGGUAUGCUCUGAAACAGAGGUGAGCAACCUUUUCCUUCAGAAUUCACUUUGAACAGCACAUCAACAAAAAAAUCUUCUCUGGUAGUGUAUCCCAACAUUGAGUCAAGAUGGCCAACUAGCACCGAGAAGUCGUAUUGAACUCAUUUGCAGUUGUCUUGGCAAUUAAGCGUAUUUUUUCAUUCCAGUCCAAGCACAAAUGUGGAUCACUGAACACAGUACUGGAAGCGCCAUUUGCAGGUACAGAUUGCAGUCAUCAUUAAAUGAGCCAGAAGGCAGAUACUGUUUUUAUUUUGUGUGGGGGGAGGGGGAAGCGGCACAGUACUAGCAGGAGAUGAAAUAAAAUGAUUAGGAAACAAUGAGGUUAUAAGAUCACUGUUCUUAUUUGGGUUAAGCAGGUCAUGUUGAGAAGAUGGUUAUUUCUUUCAGAUAAGGAUGCUACAUUAAAGGAAUCGUGUGCAGCAUGAAAAGAUUAGAAUCGAGCUGCACCUAAGAAAAAAAUCCCAAAGUUACUUUCAAAAGUAUGUGUUAUCUGCCAGUCACAGAGGGGAAAAGCACCUAGGGUGAACUCCAAUUUUUUAAUGAGGACCUUGAUCAGGACCACAAAGCCUGAAACAUUUAUUUUAAUGCAGAAACACAGCCCCUAGUUACACUGAUUGCAUUUGGGAAAAUUGGAGGGUUUUUUCGUCCUUAGUUUUUUUUAUUAAAUUACAGGAUAUGGUUUUCGAUUACUAAGUAUUCGAAAUCCUCAUACCAGCAACAGAAAUGAACCACUUCCAAAUUCUAAGACACAAAAGACCAAAGAGAAGCAAAAGCGAUACAAAUUAAUAUGUGCCCCUCUCCUUUCUGCUCUAAGGGAAUCUACAAACCAGUAUCACAUUUAGGAGUCAAAGUGUUAAUUCUUCAGCAUUCCUGACAACUAGAAAGCACAUUCACUGAAGGCUGAAGGUGAGGGAGUGGAUGGUUUAACUUUAAUAUCUGAAGAAUGGCGCCAAUAGAGGAAAGAAAACCAUCCAAUCUCAGUAAGGAUUAAUGCAAAUCUGGCUAGAAAAAGCCACCAGGUAAUCCAAGGGUUCACUGUGGAAGAACUCAUGAAAAGUACUCUGAAGUAUACACAACAGGUCUAAACAUCUCCCUUGUCGUAAGUAGUUGUGUAAAAUUCAAGAUAAAGAUUUAGUCUCAUCUUUUAAUGUCAGUUUUUUCCCCCAUGUUAAAGGGAAUGAGGAGGAGUCCUCUUUUAUUCCCCCACAAGAAAAAGGGAGCCACAUUAAUAUGUGUAUAUUCCCAUAACUCUAAUGUAAGUGCGGAUCUCCAAAGCCUAGGGAUUUUUCCGUAAAAGAGAGUGGGCCGUUCUGGUUACCCUUUUAUUAGAAGGGUAUUCCACCACAGAGAGCCGGAGGUUUUCCAGAUGUGUGUAAGAGAGCAGGUGCGCAAGGCAAGCAAAUGAGCGCAAACAGUAUUAUGGAAAACAUUUGAGAAGUUAGCUCCAUGAGGACUGUGGGCUCCACAAGAGGACUCGACUGGGUAGCCUGGUCUGACACAGGUACGUGAAAGCAGAGUAUUGCUUCAAAGCUGGAAACCUUCCAUAGGAGCCUCACACUGUUGGAAGAUGUACUGCUGCUGGUUAAGGUCAACCUGGGGUGCAAUGCUGCUGUCUUCAUCUUCGGUCCCGAAGUAAUGCUCAAUAAGAUCAAAGGCCUUUUGGUAGAUCUCCUGGUUUUCAUGACUCUGUAAGAACUCAAUUUUAUCCAGACCUAAAAUGAAGAAUAAAGGAAAAUCUUUAUUGAAAACUUCAAUAAAUAUUGGAAAUUCCAUAACUAUAUAUUCCUAAACUAUAUUUUGUCAUAUAUCUCUGUUCUUGAUGUAAAGAAAGAUUAUUUGUAUCUCAUAAGUAUUUUAUAAUAGCACAGAAAUGACUGCUGGGAUUACAUCUGAAAGCUAGUAUUAUAAACUGACAUCUUAAAUACAUAUGCAAGUAAUAUCCAGUCUGCAGAAGCAGCAAUUUCCUAACAGUCCUCUUUUCAUCCAGUGCCUAGCAGUAGUAGUAUUGUUUUUACUGAACUCUAUCUAUGACCCAAUUCAUUCUUGGCCAUAAACUUCUUCAACCAAAGCAUCUUACCAUAAGCUUCUUCAAUCAAAGCACAGUAAGGGUUAAUGCCAGUGCCAUUCCUUUUGGCUUCCUGUUCUCCAAGCCUCAGGAUAUUUUCCAAGCCAUUUAGGGCAACCUGUACAAUCUUAGAGUCCAUGACCGUGAGGAGAUCACAGAGCGGCUUGAUACAACCCAGUUCUACUAGGUACCUAAAUACAAAGAAUAAUGUAGUCAAACAAAACUUUUAAUUUUGUUAAACUUAUGAAAUUAGUGAGCAAGUCAUCCUCAACUUCACUGCAGAGACUUAAAAAAAAAAACAAAAAACAAGCACUCUUUCAACCAUACAAGCUAUACCUUUUCACAAAACAAAAACAAAAAACCCUCUAAAUAAAUUAUCCCAAACCAGUUCUCUGGCACCUUUCUCCAUUCUUUUCUCUUCACAAUUUAUGCAUUCCAAAAACAGGAAUACUUACUUAUUAAUACCUUGAAAUGAGCGACUCAUCAAAAUAGUAUAGGUUUGAGUAAUUUCAUCUUUGUUUCCAUAGAUAGCCACACCUCUCAAACAUGACACUCUUGGUGCUAAAAGCCAGCACAAGCCUGAUAAGCCAAAUCUUUCAAAGAUGAUUAGAAUUUUAGUAAAGUAAGUUGUGGGAAGAAUAAACAAAUGUCAGAGGAUUCUAGAACUGGUAUUUUUCCUUUAAUUCAAGCAGAAUGUAUAACCGUAUGUAAUCAAGAUUAAUCAUACUUGAACUUCAGAGACAUGAUUACUGUAUCACAUUCACAGUAAAUAGUCAUGUCAUUUUUUAUCAUUCUGGUUUCUCAAGUUGAGUACAGAGAGGCAGGGAUAAUGAAUCCAGUUGCAUUAUGUGAAUGUUUGGUAAGGUCAUUUUGAAACUUACUGCUAGUGCUAAUCUAUUUCUUUCUCACAUAUUGCUUUUUUGUGUGGGGGAGGAAGAAUUCAAAAAUAUAUAAAAAUAAAUCUCUAGCCAAACAAGAAAAAAGGAGAAAAGACAAAAUUACUAAUAUCAUGAAAGAGAAUCAUCACUUGAUCUCAUGGAUAUUAAAAGGAUAAUAAAGGAAUACUACAAACAACUCUAUGCUCACACAUUUGAUCAUUCAGAUGAUAAAAUGAACAAUUUCUUGAAAGACACAAACCACCAAAACUCAGUCAUGGAGAAAUGACUGAUGUGAACAGGCUUACAUGUAUUAAAUAAAUUGAAUCAUUAAUAACUUCCCAGAAUAGAAAACAUCAGGAUGAGGGUUUCACACUGGUGAAUUCUGGCAAACAUUUACGGACAAAACGAUACUAGUAUUCUACCAUCUCUUCCAGAAAACAAACAGUGGGGAUACUUCUUAACUCAAUCUUUGAGGCCAGCACUUCCCCAAUACCAAAAUUAAAUAAAGACAUCAUAAGAAAGGAAAAUUACAGACUAAUAUGUCUCAUGAACAUGAAUACAAAAAUCCUCAACAAAACAUUAUCAAAUCAAAUCCAAGAAUGUAUACAAAGAAUUAUAUACCAAGUGGAUUUAUUCCAAAUAUGCCAGGCUGAUCCGUCAUUUUAAAAAAAUGAAUCAAUGUAAUCAACUUACGAUCAUUUCAACGGAUGCAAAAAAGCAUUUAACAAAAUCUAAUACCUAUUCAUGAUAAAAACUCAGCAAACAGGCCAGGCAUGGUGGCUCAAGCCUGUAAUCCCAACUCUUCGGGAGGCCAACGCGGGUGGAUCACCUGAGGUCAGGAGUUCAAGACUAGCCUGGCCCACAUGGUGAAACUCCGUUUCUACUAAAAAUACAAAAAUUAGCCAGACAUGGCAGCGGGCACCUGUAUUCCCAGCUACUUGGGAGGCUGAGGCAGAAUUGCUUGAACACAGGAGGCGGAGGUUGCAGGAGCCGAGACCGUGCCACUGCACUCCAGCCUGGGCGAAAGAGCGAAACUCUGUCUCAAAAAAAAAAAAAAAAAAAAAAAGAAUCUCAUUUACAUCAGCAUCAAAAAAGUGUAAAUCUAAUAAAUAUGUACAACAGGAUAUAUAUGAGGAAAACUACAAAACUGAUGAUCUAAAAAAAAAAAUGGAGAAAUAUUCCAUGCUCAUGGACAAGACUCAAUAUUGUUAAGAUGGCAAUUCUUCCCAACUUGAUCUAUAGAUUCAAUGUGAUACUCCCAAACAAAAUCCCAGCAUGUUAAUAGAUACCAACAAACUGAUUCUAAAGUUUAUAUGGGAAGGCAAAAGGCCCAGAAUAGUCAAUACAAUACUGAAGAACAAAGUUGGAGGAAUGACAUUAUCAACUUACUAUAAUCUAAUCAAGACAGUGUGGUAUUGGUGAAAGAACAAACAAAAAACCAGUGGAACAAAAUAGAGGGCCCAGACAUUCACAAUACUUGAAUGUUUGUUCCCCUGAUGGUAUCCUAGAUGCCAUUUAGGCUUUCUUUUUUAAUUAUUUUUUUCAUUCAUUCAUUCAUUCAUGUAUGUCUGACUGAGUUAUUUCAAAAGACCUAUCUUUAAGUUUAGUAAUUCUUUCUUCUGCUUGAUCUGAUCCACUGCUGAAUAUCUCAACUGUAUUUUUAUUUCAUUCAUUAAAUUCUUCAGUGCUGGGAAUCCUUUUUUAUAUGUUAUUGUUGCUUUUUUAAUUGUGUGGUGGCAGGAUGGUAGGAGAUGCUCAUAACUUUUGUUUUGUAAAUCUGUAUUCUUUGAUUUAACCCACCACCACUACUACUGCCAUCAUUCACGGAUUCACCAAAAAUUGGAUAUUAUCAUACUUGUUUUUAUUAAUCUUUCUUACAUUUAUGUAUAGCUGACAUCUGUUUCAAUGUUUAAUAUUAGAAGGUUUUUGGGUCUAUAUUUUGAAGGUUGGGGAUGUUUCCUUGACCAGAAAUAUCACGUAGUAACUCAACUGAUUUAUAUUAAUUAGCCUAUGAUAAAAUUGGUUUUGAUAUAUACAAUGUUUCUCUUAAAGUCAAAGUUUCCUGGAACCUAUCAAUGACAUUAAGUGAGGACUUCCUAUACUGUACUACCAGUGUGUGUGUGUGUGUGUGUGUGUGUGUGGUUUCUCAAAUAAACUGUGUGUGUGUGUGUGUGUGUGGUUUCUCAGAUAAACUGUGUGUUUGUGUGUUUGGUUUCUCAGAUAAACUGCAAAUUCAUGCACAGACCCACACAAAAAGAAUAGAAAGCCCAGAAACACACCCGCACAAAAACAGUCAACUGAUCUUUAACAGAAUAGCAAAGGCAAUUAAAUGGAGAAAGGAUUCCACCUUUUCAACAGUGCUAAAACAACUGAACAUCCAUACAGAAAAAUAAUGAACCUAGACACAGGCCUUACUUUGUGUCACUCGUGAGCUUAGACAGGCCAAGUCUUCCCAAUACCCAAGACUGAGGCUUUCAUCCCAGUAUUCACCAGUCGAUUACUUAAUCAUCCUUGUGAAAGAACGACCUAUAGCAAGACUGACCUGCCACCUCCAAAAACACUGCAUUCUCUCACUUUUCCUCAUGCUAUUCUCCCCUCCAAAACUGCCAAUUCUCUAUACAAAUAGUAAGUUUCACUUCUUUGAUGAAUGUUUCUCUAAUUUCAGUUAAUAAUCCUUAUCCUUCAUUAAGAACAUGUGUUAUAUAUGUAUUAACAUUUGAUUAUAUUCAACCUAAAAUUCUAGAUGUUUCCUAAAACAUUCUUUUUUAUCUUUUGAGACAGAGUCUCUCACUCUGUCUCCGAGGGUGGAGUGCAGUGGCACGAUCUUGUCUCACUGCAACCAACCUCUGCCUCCUGGGUUCAAGCCAUUUUCCCACCUCAGCCUCCCAAGUAGCUGGAACUACAGGAGAACACCAACACGCCCAGCUAAUUUUUGUAGAGACAAGGUUUCUCCAUGUUAGCUAGGCUGGUCUCGAACUCCUGACCUCAAGUGAUUUGCUUGCCUUGUCCUCCCAAAGUGCUGGAAUUACAGACAUGAGCCACCACACCCGGCCAAGAUAUUUCCUAAAAUAUUCUAAUUGUUUCUUGCAUCCAAAUCUGGUAUCUGCAACAAGAAGCAGCAGAAGCCAGAUAGAUGUCUUUUAUAAGUGAUAAAGUCAGUUUGUUUUUUGUAAUUUGGACUGUAAUAUUUUUGUGACAUUCUUUCAAGAUAACUCUUCAUGUGGGGAAGAAGAAACUGCUAGGAGGUUGGUAAUUAAUUUUAUUAUAAAUAGCUAUGCUGAAUUUUAAAAAGGGACAGCAGCAAUUCUGCGCUUCUCUAACAGAGCAAAAUACUCCUGAAUACUUUCUCAUGAAAGAUGGCAUAAUAAAAUAUAUAUGUUUAUGGUUUAUUUCUUCUUCUUCUUUUUUUUUUUUUGUUGAAAUGGAGUCUCACUCUGUCACCCAGGCUGGAGUGCAGUGGCAUGAUCUCAGCUCACUGCAACCUCUGCCUCCCGGGUUCAAGCGAUUCUCCAGUCUCAGCCCCACAAGUAGCUGGGAUUACGGGUGCACGCCACCACACCUGGCUAAUUUUUGUACUUUUAGUAGACACGGGGUUUCACCCUGUUGGCCAGGCUGGUCUCGAACUCCUGACCUUGUGAUCCACCUGCCUUGGCCUCCCAAAGUGGUGGGAUUACAGACAUGAGCCGCUGCACCCGGCCUGGCUUAUUUCAAUUAAGAAAAUAUAUUUGCUAUAAAAUAUAGAGACAAUUAAUAACUAUAAAUGUGAAUUUGAACAUAAAGCUUAUUCAAAUAACUAUAGUACUUCAUUAUUUUUACCAUCUGGUGACAGCAUAAUUAAAAUCAUAGUACUCUAGAAUCAGAAUUUUGGAGGUUGGAAAAAACCUACAAGACAAAUGUGCUUCUGUCUCCCUGAAAUAACCUGCCCAUGAUGAACUUCACCAAAAUAGCUACUGCAUAUGUUAAUCUGUUUGUAAUUUUAUUCUUUCAGGUACAUAUUUCUUAUUUUCUCUACCUGAUAAAUUUCUGUACUUUGUUACUAUUUUUAUUUUUUAAUUCCAAACAGAACACUCAAAACUAGCAUCUGAUGAAUGCCUACAUUCAGUCCACAAAGCAACAAUGUAAGUAGUAGCUAUGUUUGUCUGAUAUUACGUAUGAGUAAGGAGUUAAUGCUUUAGCACUCAUUUGAAACCAUCUUUCCUUAAUUUUGGAUUCCCCAUAAAGUUAAGACUGGCUGAGUCUAGGCUAGGCUCCAUUUUUCUCUUCAUCAUUACUUUUUUUCCCUAUCUGAAAUACUAGAUGUCCUGAAUUUUGCAUUUAAUUAUAUGAUGCUCCUUUGAAGAACUGAUUCCCAUCCAUAUUUAUGUUUUCUUCCACUCAUUAAGCUUAUAAGCUGCUCGUCGGGCAUGAUGGCUCACACCUGUAAUUCCAGCACUCUGGGAGGCCAAGGCAGGUGGAUCGCCGGAGCUCCGGAAUUCAAGAUCAGCCUGGCCAACAGGGGAAAACUCCGUUUCUACUAAAAAUACAAAAAUUAGCUGGGUGUGGUGGCACUCACCUGUAAUCCUAGCUACUAGGAAGGCUGAGGCAGGAGAAUCGCUUGAACCCAGGAGGCGGAGGUUGCAGUGAGCCGACAGUGCCACUGCACUCCAGCCUGGGCAACAGAGAGACUCCAUCUCAAUCAGUCAAUCACUAAGCUGCUACCAAGGGAGCCAUUUAAGUCUUGAGCUGCUACAGCUCCUCCCUUUAACAAGAAUACCAUAGUACUUUAGAAGAUACCUGCCUCUACUAAAUUUGGCACUUCAUUCUCAGACAUACCACUCUUUCAAUUCUGAUCCAAUUCUACUAUUAAGACAUCUAAACUAAAAAGGGCAAGAGUGAGUUAUUAAACUUGGGCUCAAGUUCUACAAGUAACCUAUAUUACCCAAGAUAUUUCUGACAAGUAGCUCCAGAGUAGGUUGAAGCAAGGAUUUCUAUUGCCUCAAGCCUCGACUAUGCCUACUUCUUAUAUCCCAGGAUUGUUUUUCAGCAAAAAGAAAUGGGAGAGUUAUAAAGAAUUAAAUACACAUCUAAUUAUGACACCAAGGACAAUUUCCUAAGGACUGGAACUAAACAUUCUUAUUUGGUAAGAUCGUCUCUCACUUACUUUUCCCCUCAAAGGCAGCUAAUCUUUUACUCUAGGUAAUAUGUGGGAGGUUAUAAAGUGAUAGACACAAUAAUAAUUUUUCUUUAACUUACAAUAUGCUGCCUGAUUGGUACUUACUUGAUCUGUUCAGCUGAUCCUCCAGAAGUUGCAUUUGUGAUGGCCCAAGCUGCUUCUUUUCUUGUCCGAAAUUCAGCAGUUUGUAAAAUACUAAUGAGGGCUGGGAAAAUGUUGGCAUCUAUCACAGUCUAAAAUUAAAGAAAAACUUAAAUGGAAAAAACUGUGAGAUUUAUAAAAAUAUUCAUGAUACUAAUUAUAAUUUCUAAGCUAGUUUGACUAUUAACACCCCUUCUCCUGUCAGAAAUAAAUUGAAAAGAGUUAUGUCAUUAUCUCUAACCUUUUUUUUUCUUUUUUGAGAUGGAGUCUCACUCUGUUGCCCAGGCUGGAGUGCAGUGGUGCAAUCUCAGCUCACUGCAGCUUCCACCUCCUGGGUUCAAGUGAUUCUCCUGCCUCAGCCUCCCGGGUAGCUGGGACUACAGGUGCACACCACCAAACCCGGCUAAUUUUUGUACUUUUAGUAGAGACAGGGCUUCACCAUGUUGGCCAGGCUGGCCUUGAACUCCUGACCUCAGGUGAUCCACCCACCUCGGCCUCCCAAAGUGCAGGGAUUACAGGUGGGAGCCACCGCACCCAGCCUAUCCCUAAUCCUUAUUCUGUCUUGGUAUCACUGAAAACAUCUUCCCUGGAGUUUAUGAUCUUAUAAUCUCCUAUUUUCUCUGAGUUCUUUUCUCUUUCACUUUCCUCUUUUGUUCUGCCCACAGUAACAAAUUGUUAAGAGCUCAAUUUUCUGCUCCUCUGCUAUUCCAUUCUCUCAUAGCAUGUGAACUUCCAUGUGCGAAAACUCUCUAGUCCUCACUUCUCACUGGAGCAUCAGCCCAGGGUAGCCAGCAGUUUACGUUAGGUCUGCUAGUCAUCUCAAACACAUCAUCUGCCCGCUAUAUCAAGUUUCCUUUUAAACCCCUCUAGUUCACAAAGGCUAUUAAUUUACAUUCUCAAUUUUUAAAAUCCUGAGUCCAUCUUUUUCCUUUCCUUUGGCAUUGCCAUGCUAUUCUCCAAGCCACCACCUCCCAGAUUACCAAAAUAAGACUUAUAGUUGGAUGGAGUACUUUUACUCAAUCCCCUUCAUGUACUAACACUAAAGUAGCCUUCCCAAAAUUACUUUCUCCCUGUUUCUUCCUGGCUCAAGUACCUAACAUGGGUUUAUAUCAUUUCCUACAUUAAGAAACUGAGAAGUUCUGCAUAAAAAAGCCUGGUGGUGACAGGCAAUCAAAUACAGAUGAAAUCACCUCAUAUGAAUGCUAUAGAUUGUUAUAGCUAUUAAUCUCAGUUCCUAAUUCAGCAUUUUGGGGACAAAAUGCUUUCCUGGUCAAAAACUCUUAUUAUACCUGUGAAGGACGUCAACAAAGUUUGACAAAGUUGAUUACUGGAAAGACACCUAAUCCCGGUCCUGUCAUUUUACUAGAGGUGCUCUUGAGCAAAUCAUUUUAAUUCCAUGAGCCGUUUCAUCUUUUUAUUCAAAUUUUUUAUUGACAAAUAAUAAUUGUAUAUAUUUAUGGGAUACAAUGUAAUGGAUGCUUCAAUACACACACACAAACACACACACACAAAAUUGUGGUAAAUGAAAACCUUGGAUUAGAUGAUCUCUCUGUUUCCAUUCAUCUCCAAGGCCCUCUAUGUCUGUGUUAUAUCUUUUCCUACCCACUGUUCCAUCCUUGAACAUUGCCCAGGCUGAACACUUUGGCCCACUGCUUGUCGUCCACUUGAGUUACUCUCCCACCAAUACAAAGACAAAAGUAAAAACCAAGUAACUAUUUAAAGAAAAAUGGGUAUCCAAAAAUUCAUGAAAAUUUGAGGCAAUCUACAUGGGUCCACUGGAAAAAUAAAUAUCUUACUUGGAAAGCGUUAAAGCCAAUCGUGCUCAGCAUAAAGCCCAUCAAAACAUUUUGAAAAUACAAGACAUUAUUUGUUGCAAGAAGUCAGGGACCCUGAAUGGAGGGACCAUGAAGCCUGGCAGAAGGACAUAAAUUGUGAAGAUUUCAUGGACAUUUAUUAGUUCCCCCAAAUUAAUACUUUUAUCAUUUCUUACACCUGUCUUUACUGCAGUCUCUGAACAUAAACUGUGAAGAUUUCAUGGACAUUUAUCACCUCCCCAAUCAAUACUCUUAUAAUUUCCUAUGCCUAUCUUUACUUUAAUCUCUUAAUCCCGUCAUCUUCAUUAAGCUGAGGAUGUAUGUCGCCUCAGGACCCUGUGAUGAUUGCAUCAUAAAGCAUGUGUGUUUAAACAAUAUGAAAUCUGGGCACCUUGAAAAAAGAAGAGGAUAACAGCGAUGUUCAGGGAACAAGGGAGAUAACCAUCAGGUCUGACUGCCUGAGAGCUAGGCGGAACAGAGCUAUUAUUUCUCUUCUUACAAAAGUGAAUAGGAGAAAUAUUACUGAAUUCUUUUUCUCAGCAAGGAACAGUCAUGAGAAAGAGAAUGCGUUCCUAGGGGGAGGUCUCUAAAAUGGCCACUCUGGGACUGUCUGUCUUAUAUGGUUGUGGAUAAGGGAUGAAAUAAACCCCGGUCUCCCUUAGCGCUCCCAGGCCUAUUAGGACGAGGAAAUUCCCGCCUAGUAAAUUUUAGUCAGACUGGUUGUCUGUUCUCAAACCCUGUCUCCUGAUAAGAUGUUAUCGAUGACAAUGCAUGCCUGAAACCUCAUUAGCAAUUUUAAUUUCGCCCCGUGCUCUGCCAUUUGCCUUGUGAUAUUUUAUUGCCUUGUGAAGUAUGUGAUCUCUGUGACCCACAACCUAUUCGUACACUCCCUCCCCUUUGAAAAUCACUAAUAAAAACCUGCUGGUUUUGCAGCUUGGGGGGCAUCACGGAACGUGCCGAUAUGUGAUGUCUCCCCCAGACAGCCAGCUUUAAAAUUUCUCUUGUACUCUUUCCCUUUAUUUCUCAGACCGGCCGACACUUAGGGAAAACAGAAAAGAACCUACAUGAAACACUGGAGGUGGUUCCCCUGAUAACUAUUUCUUGGGUCUUGGUGAAACAUCAAAUAUUAACGGCAACAGAAAAAAUGAAGGCUUAAGUGUAAAUUUCAAAAGACUUAACAUCUAUAAGCUAGGAUAAAGUAAAAAGCUGACUAUGAAAUAAGACAACAACAUUGAAAGUGGUCUUCAAAGCAAUAAUGAAAACGAUAUACGUUUUAUUUUGUUUUGAGAUGGAGUCUUGCUCUGUCACCCAGGAUGGAGUACAGUGGCACAAUCUCGGCUCACUACAACCUCUACCUCCACGGUUCAAGUAAUUCUCCUCCCUCAGCCUCCCGCGUAGCUGGGACUACAGGCACCUGCCACUGCGACUGGCUAAUUUUUUUGUAUUUUUAGUAGAGACAAGGUUUCAGCAUGUUGACCAGGAUAGUCUUGAACUCCUGACCGCAAGUGAUCCACGGGCCUCAGCCUCCCAGAGUGCUGGGAUUACAGGCAGGAGCCACCGCACCCAGCCAAAAACAAAUGUGUUUUAAAGGGUGACUGAGAAAAAAACCUUACUUUUCAAUAAAAAUACUGAAAGAGAAGUUAGGUCCUAUGAGGUUACCUGGAUCUGUGCCCUAUUUCCAGCUGUAAUAUUAGAUAUCGUCCAACAUGCUUCCUUUUUGAUAGAUUCCUUUGGGCUACUCAGCAAAUGCAAUAAACUCUGCAGAGCUGAGCAAUUCAGAAUUACCUAAAAGAAAAAGUUUGAAAAUUUUACUUAUUGUAUUGUUCUAAAUAUCAAUGUUUAACUUAAGGAACACAUUUUAUGAAAGACAUAACAUCUCCCCUUGAAAUUUUAUAAAUAAGUAACUUUAUACAGGUAAAAAAAAGUAUUCACUGUUAAUAAGAAUUAGUUUCUAAGAGUAUCAGUACAGUUUCAUUGUACACAUUCACAACUGCUAAACUGUACUUAAUAAGAUACAAUAAUGUUACUAUUGUAAUUACAAAAGCAUUACUCAUUCACCUUCCCAUCCCAAUAGCGUAAGUCUUCUGAAUGGGUAAAUAUAUCAAGUGGCCAGAAAAGUCAGGAGUCUCAGAUUUGUAGGUCCUCUGAUAACACACUACUUGGUAGUCAAUGAACGAAUACGUACUUAAUGAGGUAUAUUAGAUGCUUUAUAGGAUACAAAGAUAAAAAAGAUAUGACCUCAGCUAUCAGUUUAUAAAGGUGAAGGAGGUAACACAAAUACACAUGAAGAAGGAGACCUACUCUACUAGAAACUAAAAUAAUAUAAGUUUGAUUAAAAUAGUAUAUGGCAGAUUUAAGAAUUAAUCACUAAACAGAGAACAGAGAUCUAUUCUAGAAACAAAUGCAGCUAUUUAUAAAGUUUAUAAUAAGUUAAUCCUUUCUUCCAAUGACUUGUGGCUAUGACAGAACUGGAAUAAAAAGCUAAACAGAUUAAAGACAAUUUUUUCAAUAUCAUUUCUUAACCCUGAUAUGGUUUGGAUCUGUG